RNAcentral lists this non-coding RNA (223 nucleotides) under Stygamoeba regulata. The record is from RNAcentral. Lineage: Eukaryota; Discosea; Stygamoebida.
GAUAUGGGUGCCAUGCGUCAUCGCACCCUGGCUGCUCGCCGCGGUGUCCGAAGACCCCUCGGUACCUCUACGGAGAUGCAGCAGCCGAACAAGGCCGCUGCCGCUGCCAGCACAAGUGGAAGUCAUCGUGCACCACUUCCUCGCACUCAUGAUCGCUUCAUUCGCACGCAUCCCAAGGCCGUCGACAGCUUCAAGACCAACCUCAGCCUUCUGAAGAGUGGCC